RNAcentral lists this long non-coding RNA (1019 nucleotides) under Pelobates cultripes (western spadefoot toad). Lineage: Eukaryota; Metazoa; Chordata; Amphibia; Anura; Pelobatidae. The record is from RNAcentral.
GCUUGCUAUGUGCCUGACUGAUGAAAAUAAAUCAGCUUGCUUCAAGUAUGCCUAUUCUUCAAGUAUGCCUAUUCUCCCCUCUUUAGAGAACAGAUCAUUUUGAUCUUUCUCUAAACCUUGUUUAAUCCAAAAGACAGAUUCUGGGUAUUAAAAAAAGAAUCUCAUAACCACUGAAGCGCUGGGCUGUCAUGUGUUGUGUGGUGAGAUUUGUUAUCAGCUGAGUGACCUGGUGACUGGCAUGAAGUAUUGUAGGAUGCCCUAGUGUGAUAGUAGUAGCAGUUUCAACAGCCAUUGCACAUGCUAUCAAUGCUCUGAGACACGCCGGCAUACCCUGUACCGGAGCUUGAACUACUUUGGAAAAGAAUGCUAUGGGACGCAUACCGCCUCCUUGCUCUUGUGCACAGACCGCGGCCAUGGUUUUACAAUUGUCCCAAGCAUACAAAUGAAAUGGUUUACAAUACACAGGUAGUCCUAAAGCCUGGGCUUGCACAAUAACAACUGUAAGGGCAAUAUAUGCAGCUAGCAUGUCUGGUGACCAGCAGACAUUUUCAGGGCUGUCAGAACGUACAGCCUCCCUUAGGAUUGAGUCAUAAUGGGAGCAUUCAGGGAUCCAUUGGUGGCAGUAAUUAAUCAUGCCGAGGAAGGUGAGCAACUCCUUCCGAGUAGUGGGUGUUGGAAUCCUCUGAAUGACCUCAAUACAUUUUGGACUCAAUUGUCUGGUGCCUAAAGCCAGAACAAAACCUAAGUAUUCAACCUUUGAUUUACACAAUUGCAUUUUGUGUUUAACAACCUUGUGACCCACAGUUGCUGACAGUAUCCACAGUGCUUGCCUCAUAGCUAGGGCUACAUAACAACAAAUCAUCAACAUUUUGCAAAAAGGACGGAACCAUGACCGAUGGUCCAUGUUUUUUAGAGUAUGUUGGAGUACCAACGAAUAAACAGCUGGGGAAUCCACAUAGCCUUGGGUAAGCGUGUCCAGGUAAACUGACAGCCUUCAAAAAGUAAAAACCAUAAGUAGC